GACGAACGCUGGCGGCGUGCUUAACACAUGCAAGUCGAACGGAAAGGCCCUGCUUUUGUGGGGUGCUCGAGUGGCGAACGGGUGAGUAACACGUGAGUAACCUGCCCUUGACUUUGGGAUAACUUCAGGAAACUGGGGCUAAUACCGGAUAGGAGCUCCUGCUGCAUGGUGGGGGUUGGAAAGUUUCGGCGGUUGGGGAUGGACUCGCGGCUUAUCAGCUUGUUGGUGGGGUAGUGGCUUACCAAGGCUUUGACGGGUAGCCGGCCUGAGAGGGUGACCGGCCACAUGGGGACUGAGAUACGGCGCAGACUCCUACGGGAGGCAGCAGUGGGGAAUAUUGCACAAUGGGCGGAAGCCUGAGGCAGCAACGCCGCGUGCGGGAUGACGGCCUUCGGGUUGUAAACCGCUUUCGCCUGUGACGAAGCGUGAGUGACGGUAAUGGGUAAAGAAGCACCGGCUAACUACGUG
This 468-nucleotide ribosomal RNA is filed under the name uncultured bacterium. Its description in RNAcentral is "partial 16S ribosomal RNA". It matches the Rfam family "Bacterial small subunit ribosomal RNA", at positions 28 to 507 of the family's 1533-position model. The record is from RNAcentral.